GACGGAGGGAGCUAGCGUUGUUCGGAAUGACUGGGCGUAAAGGGCGCGUAGGCGGUUUUUUAAGUGAGGCGUGAAAGCCCUGGGCUUAACCCAGGAGGUGCGCUUCAGACUGGAAAGCUUGAGAACGAGAGAGGAAAGUGGAAUUCCUAGUGUAGAGGUGAAAUUCGUAGAUAUUAGGAAGAACACCAGUGGCGAAGGCGACUUUCUGGCUCGUAACUGACGCUGAGGCGCGAAAGCGUGGGGAGCAAACAGG
This 253-nucleotide ribosomal RNA is filed under the name uncultured bacterium. Its description in RNAcentral is "partial 16S ribosomal RNA". It matches the Rfam family "Bacterial small subunit ribosomal RNA", at positions 524 to 776 of the family's 1533-position model. The record is from RNAcentral.